RNAcentral lists this long non-coding RNA (669 nucleotides) under Macaca mulatta (Rhesus monkey). RNAcentral's name for it is "lncRNA (ENSMMUG00000048878.2)". Lineage: Eukaryota; Metazoa; Chordata; Mammalia; Primates; Cercopithecidae. The record is from RNAcentral.
AUGAUCUCCUACUCCUAUGAUCCUACCUUCUGUUUCCCUUCCAGAUGGGAACCAUGUCUAAUCAACCAUAGGAAGUGGCCAAAGGAGGAAGCAGGAGUUUGUGGGUCCAGUGUGGAGGAGACAAAGACUGGACUGCUGUUCCACACCUUCAGAACACUUUGGCUUCUGAUAUUCUGGAGAAACCAGUGUUAUCUGAGUGUUAAAGCUCAGUUAUUAAUCCUUUCUCAGAGUUCCGGGAUAAUGUUAUUAGCUUUCAAGCAUGUGAUGCAUCCCAAGAGAGCUGUUGACUUCCAGUCUGACCAAAUUCUUUCACGUUGUGGCGUGUACGAUGUAUAAACGUUUUGGAAUGCCUCUGAGACGACUUCUGCCGGUGAGUCUUUCCUCUGAGUGUCUUUGGGGCUAGAACAGUCAUGUCCAUUUCAUUGUUGAUUAGGUGUUCGUAUAAAAAAGAAUUUUUAAAUGCUUUACUUAACAGCUCUGAUUAACACUGAGUAUUUAGAUCCUGAUGUGUCAGUUAUAGACAUUUAAUCUCUCAUCAUUAAAUAUUUCUGCCUCUUUCACUGAAUAGAGGAGGAUGUAUGUGAGCAACAUAUGGGUGGAGUUGAUCUGAACAAGAAUUUAGGGAGGAGAAAAUUAUACGAUCUCUAAUUUUUUUAGGGAGAGGCUGAA